This 550-nucleotide ribosomal RNA is filed under the name Scyllarides squammosus. Its description in RNAcentral is "partial large subunit ribosomal RNA". It matches the Rfam family "Bacterial large subunit ribosomal RNA", at positions 1819 to 2625 of the family's 2925-position model. Lineage: Eukaryota; Metazoa; Arthropoda; Malacostraca; Decapoda; Scyllaridae. The record is from RNAcentral.
GUCUUUGUGGGUGUUUAAUAUAAAGUCUGACCUGCCCAUUGAUAUAAAAUUAAAAGGCCGCGGUAUAAUGACCGUGCGAAGGUAGCAUAAUAAUUUGUCUUUUAAUUGAAGGCUAGUAUGAAUGGUUGAACAAAAGGCUAACUGUCUCUUAAAUAAAGCUUGAAGUUAACAUUUAAGUGAAAAGGCUUAAAUAAUCUAGAGGGACGAUAAGACCCUAUAAAUCUUUAUACUUUGGUUUAUACGGUUGAAGGUUAGGUUACUAUUUAAUUUUAUAAAGUUAAGUAUUUUGUUGGGGUGACAGGGGCAUAAGAGUAAAUAACUGCCUUAGAGUUAGAGUUAAAAAUAUUUAAUUUAUUAAGUGAUCCUUUAGUAGAGAAUAUAGAUUAAGUUACUUUAGGGAUAACAGCGUAAUUUCUCUUGAGAGUUCAUAUCGAAAGGGGAGGUUGCGACCUCGAUGUUGAAUUAAAGAUCCUUUAUGGUGCAGAAGUUAUAUGAGGAGGUCUGUUCGACCUUUAAAUCUUUACAUGAUUUGAGUUCAAACCGGCGUGAG